RNAcentral lists this long non-coding RNA (6870 nucleotides) under Marmota monax (woodchuck). Lineage: Eukaryota; Metazoa; Chordata; Mammalia; Rodentia; Sciuridae. The record is from RNAcentral.
CGUGCAGCCCGGGUUCGAUCCUCAGCACCACAUACCAACAAAGAUGUUGUAUCCGCCGAAAAUUAAAAAAUAAAUAUUAAAAAAAUAAUAAUAAAGUUUAAAAAAUAAAAAAAUUUAAAAACCCAAAGUAAUAUCUGAUUAUUGCAUAAAUUUUCAGAGAAUACAGACAAGUAAACAUAAUUAAAAUCAUCUUUAAUCUUCCAUUUCUAACUCAUUGGUGUCCACCCUUCCAGGGUUUUCCCUGUGCAUGAAGAUACCAGGGACAAGAGGUGACUGGUCGUCUCCCAAGGUGUCGAACCUCCCCAGGGGCUGUGAAGUGACCCCAAACGCAAUGCCUCUAGUACCUACCACUUAGGACUACUUAUCAAUGAUUGCCUGAAUGAUUAAGAGUUAUAUCUCUAUAAACAACAUGUCUCCGCAUGCCCCUCACUCAGCAGCCCUGCAGGUGCAAUUCCAUGUGGGCCUCCAGGAGGCUGGACCUCCCCCAUCAGGGGGAGGGUACUUCAUCGUCAUUGCUUGCUGUUUCAAUGAUAGAUAAUGGUCUGGUUUUGUAAUCUUCAAUCUGGUUUGUUGUGGACUUUUCUGUUUAACCUCACUGCCUGCAGGGACGCAUAUCUACAACAACAGCUUUGAGCCUGUCAUCUCCUAUAACCAGGCUCUGGUACACACAUGGCUGCAUCCAGCUGGAUCAUUCAUCUCCAAGGAGUGAAAAGUCUGCAGAUUCCCACAAUAGGUACGUACAGUCUUGCCGGUUGUGCUCCCUAGACAACUUGUAACAUAUUAUCAGAGAAAGUAAUAGAGUGCUGAGUUAUUUUUAAGUCCUAGGGCAUUACUUUUAAAGAGGAUAUGUACAUAAAUAGUUUUCUAAGAGGUAGAAGAAAAACAGGUUCAUAGAGUUGGUCGGCACAAAUUACUGGCUGCUGCAGCUGCUUGUUUUUUUGUACAGGGAUUGGACCCAGGGACACACUACCACCGAGCUACACCCCAUCCCCUUUUUAUUUUUUAUUUUGAGACCAAUUCUCUUGAUAAAUGUUCCAGGCUGGCCUUGAUCUUGUGAUCCUCCUGCCUCACUCAGCCCUCCUAAGGCAGGACUGGGAUCCCAAGUGGGGGCUCUCACACCAGCUGUUUCCCUUCACUGUUUACCACUCUACCCUGGCAACAUUAAUUUUCAGAAUUCACGGGGUCUCCCAUGUUAUCCACUUGCUUUGAUAACCUAUAGGGGUUUCAGGGGACAGAAUAGUGAGCUGCCCAACUGGCUAGAGGUGUUCCACAGCUAUAUUUAUAUUAUAUACUAUUGAUGUUGGUGACCAGAACUGGCUUUUGAAGCUCCAAGAAAUUAAGAAAAAGUUAGCCCCCAAAGAAACAGAGGUCUCCAAAAGCGGUUAAGUGCUCAGGCCCCAAGUUAACCAAUAAAUGAAAGAAAAGGAGUGGCAUUUACCUAGUAUCUGCAUGGGCUGGGCAUUGCGGUUAGUAGAUACUGUUAUAAAUAAAACUGCAGAAUCAGUAAUAAUGUCAAAACAAGACUAAACCCCAUGGCUACCAGGCCUCUGUAGAAUGUUCUACAUGUCUGUAUAACCACUUAAUGUACAUUUAGACUCAUAACUACCCACAAGGUGACCUCUAUGCAGCCUGUGAUUUUAUGCAUUAAAUCCGGACCUUUAAGCUGCCUGUCCUCUGCUAGCUCAGUCUUUGAGUGCAGCCUGCCUGAGACUGGCUUAGCUCCUGGCCUGCUCUGAGAUCCCACCAAGUUGGGACCCAAAGAGUAGACUGAGGUCUACUCUCACUUUUUCUUCCUCCUCUUCCCAGCCUAUGAGUGGAGGGGCUUAGUCCCAGUUGCAAGGACAAUGUCUCAAUCACCACAGCUCAUAGAAAGCAACUUGUGCAGGCUUGAAGGCAGCCUGGCCAGAGUGCUGCAGUUUUUUUCAGGAGAAGCAGGUUGAGGUUGAUUUCCUAAGAGCCAAUCUGCAGAAAGCCAGUUUUCAAAUGGCCAAUUCAUAGUUGGUAGAGUUGUAAACUGAAGGACCAAUUUACAAAACAACCAAUUACUUUUUUUCCUCCUUGGUCUUAACUGACCAGUAUUUAUCCUGUCUUUACAAUAGAAUUUGGAAGAAAGGUACCUUGCUUUCUCUCUUCUGCCCUGGAGCUACAACUGAGGAGAAACCGGAAGAGCUAGGGGCUGAGAUCCAGCAGCUUUUGUAGAACUUUCCUCAGAGUGACUUUCUGGGAAUUGACAGAGGGCCUAUUCUAAGUUUCUACCAUCUUCUUUCCAAAGGGAAUUAGUAAAGCUUUGCCAUUUAGUUUUUUUCUUUAUUUUUCUUUUGGUAUUUGGGUUUAAACCCAGGAGCUAUACCACUGAGUUACAUCCUAAACCCUUUAUAAUGUUAAGUCAGAGACUUGCUAAAUUGCCCAGGUUGGCCUUGAACUUGAGAGCCUCCUACCUCAGCCUCCCAAGCUGCUGGGGUUACAGGCAUGUGCUGCUGCAUCCAGCUAGACUUUGCCGUUUCUAAUUUGUCUUUGACAAGUCAGUAUUGGCAAGUUCACAAAAAUUUCCAUCUGUACACACAGAGGAGAAAGCCCUGAGGGGUCAGAUUGGAGAUGCUGGCCUAAAAGAUUGUAGGGAUGUGGUCUCAAGUCAAGCCAUGCCAGUGGCCACCAGGAGCUGGAGGCUCAAGAAGCAGUUUCAACCCCAGAACCUCUGGAGGGAGAGCAGCCCUGUCCAUACCUCAGUUUCAGUCCAGUGACACUACUUUCAGACUUCUGCCCUCCAGAGAGAGUAAACUUUUGCUGUGUUAAGCUACCAGUUGGGGUAAUUUGUUACAGCAACUUUAGGAAACCAACACAGAUUUUUGCCAGUCGGACAAACCACAGAGCUAAGUUGGGGACAGCCUUAGGCCUCGCUGGGCCACCAGCCAGGGUUCUGCAUUUGGGGAUAUCAGAUGGAAAGGCAGAAACAGACUAGCUCUCACAGACAGCAGAGUACAAGCCACAGUGCCUGCUUUUAAUUAACCCCAAACAAUAUAUCCUUCUCAUUACUGUCCAACAAAAUUACAGUUUUCUGAUUUUAUUUUUUUCCAGGAAGGUGCCAUUCAUUCAUUAAUUAACUUAUUUAUUGUGGUACUGGGGACUGAACCCAGGCCCUCAUGCAUACUAGGCCAGUACAUCCCCACCCCAACUUAUAUUUUGGAAUGAAUGCCCCGUGCGGUAGUUCCAGAUACUUGGGAGGCUGAGGCUGGAGGAUCACUUGGGCCCAGGAGUUCCAGACCAGCCUGGGCAACCUAGCAAGACUCUGGGUCAAAAAGGAAAAAGAAAAUUUUUUUUAUAAAGAUGAAAAUAAAUCCCAUAUGAAAUAAAAAAAAAAUUCCAAGGAAAUAAUAUAAAAUGUAGGCAAAUUUCUGAUAUGAUUGUGUGGGUUUUGUUUCGUUUGUUUUUUUUGUACUAGGAAUCGAACCCAGGGGCACUCUACCACUGAGCCACACCCCCAGCCCUUUUCUGUAUUAUAGACACAGGGUGUCACUGAGUUGCUUAGGGACUCGCUAAGUUGCUAAGGCUGGCUUUGAACUCUCGGUCCUCCUGCCUCAGCCUCUCCAGCCGCUGGGAUUACAGAUGUGCACCAUGGCUCCUGGCUGUGACUGUGUUUUAUGCAAUUGUAACCCCCUCCCUCAUGCACUCUGUCCAGUCUUCCCCACACAGCCAGAGUGAUUUGUGAAAAACGCAAUCUGAUCAUGUCAUGAAAUUUAAGAAAAUUAUAAACUAUCAUUUAAUGGGAGGAGAGACAGGCAGUCGGAAUCCAGGAAGGGGCCAAGGAGGCUUUAGCCAUGCAGACAGGGCUCUGGUUGAGAAAGCAUAUUGGAUCCAUGGGUGCUACAGCUUAGAUCUGGGGUGUCCCCCAAAGUCUCAUAUUGAAAGCAUGAUUGCCAGUGCAGCAGGGUUCAGAGAGGAGGCUUCUAGGCAAGGACUGUAUCAUGAGGGCUGUGCCCUCAUCAGUGACUAAUCCACCAAAUGGUAUCAUCAAAUGGAUAGCAUAUCUGUAAGCCCAGGGACUAGGGAGGCUAAGGCAGGAAGACUGCAAAUUUGAGGCCAACCUAAGCAACUCAGCAUUGCCCUAAGCAACCUAGCAAGACCCUGUCUCCAAAUAAAAAAUAAAACAGGCUGCACUGAACCUCUGGGUUCAAUCCUCGGUACCAAAAAAUAAAUAAAUUGACAGCUGAAUGGACUAUUGGGCGGUAGGACCUACUUGGAAAAAGUGGGUCACUGCAGGCAUAUCCUGGAGGGGUUGGUCUCUACCCGGGUCCCUUCCCCUCUCUGUUCUCAGGCUGCCAUGGACGGGGCCACUCUCCUCCACCAAGCCCUUCUGCGAAGAAGCUUCUGCAUUGGAGGCAGCCAGCGCAGACUGAAAGCUGUUAAACCGUGAGCCAAAAUAAACCUUCCCCCUCCAGGUUGUUCAUGUCAGGUAUUUUGGUCACAGUGAGGAGAAGCCAACUAACACACUGAGUAUUUGGUUCAUUGUCAUAUUUCAGUGACUUACUCGGUGUUGCAUACGUGUGCUUUAUACAUUUCAAAUAUCUACACCAUCACCACCAACAGCAAAACAACGUGACGGCUUCCUAACGUUCCUAAGGUAAGGCAGACAGGCAGAAACCUUGACGUGACUGGUGGGGCCUCGUCUGCCUGGACCUGCGGUCCUCGCCUCUCGCCCUCAGUCCCUGCUUCUCAGCCUCCCCAGCCUCCUCUUCCCUUCCUGCAGGCUGCCAGGCUCCCUGCUGGCCGGCUCUUGCCUGUUCCUCCUGCUGUCACCUUCAGAAGGUCGGGGAGCACCGACCCUGCCCCCGAACCUCUCCUUUGCAGCAAGUUCACACCUAUGGUUUACAUUUCUUUGUUGGUUUCUGGGUUAGUGUCAGUCUCUCUAACCUCAGGUUCCAUGAGGCCAGAACUACACCUGGCGCUUCACAGAACAUGGUAGGCCACCCAAAGUAUUAUUGAAAAACGAAACAUGUACGUUUUCCUUGAAAGACAGGCCAUAGCUGUGGCACUCCCACACAAACCAGAGUCUUCCCACAGGAAGGUGACGGAUCUCGUUCUAAACUGUCCUUCCCACUGCACACUCCAACUCUGAUUGACCCGGCCCACGCCCUGUCUCUCUGGAGUUCCAGGUUGAAGUUCCAAUAUGGAGUGAGUGCACUAAUAAAUUAACCCACAAAGCAACAAAUUCUGACAGCUGCCUGGGCUGCACUACCCGGGCACCCAGCCCUGACGCACACACAGCAAGAGCCCACUUAUCAGAAGCCUCCACAAACCUCUGUCCUGCCCACUGCUAAAGACCAAGUUCCCAAUCCAGAUAACACCAGCCAGCAAGCAGUAUUUGGAGACUUGAUAUAGAGGCUGUGAGUAGGUUCUAAAAAGCUACCUCGUCCAGACUCCUCUCCCACUGCCUAAAUUUUAAACUAGACUGGCUUUGCCUUUGCUAGACAGGAAAACUCCCACUGCGCACUCCGUCUUUGAUGGCAGAGUCUGUAUUUUCUGCUUAACAAAGAAGGCUCAAGGGGCUGGGGGUAUAGCUCAGUUGCCAGAGUGCUUUUCUUGCAUCCACAGGGCCCUGGGUUCAAUCCCCAGAACCAUCACACACACACAAAAAAAGAAAGAAAGCUCAAGGAAGGCAGGACUUCAGAGAGAUGAAUGAGACCCUGUUAGUUUCCACCCCUGCACCCCAAGCUGAUGAACCUUUUCUUACUAGGCGCUGCCCACCUGAAUCAGUCUCCUUGUCUGGGAAGUUCCAGGCUUAUGGGGUGGCUGUAGGGGUGGGUGGGGGGAAGGAUUCUUAUUUAAUACAACAAAGAGUCAACAUUGUACUUUGGAAUAGUUAGAUAUUGCCAUUAAAAUGAAAAAUAAAAUAAGGAGGGCUAUAGUUACCAUUCCUUUUUUUAGGAAUUUAACCUUUACUUUUUAUUUAUCUGUUCUUUUAUGUAGUGCUGAGGAUGGAACCCAGUGGCUCACCCUUUCUCGGCAAGCGCUCUACCACAGAGCCACAGCCCAGCCCAAUACAGUUACCAUUUUUAUCUUAUUAACUCUAAGAGCCACUGUCUUCAUACCUUAGUAUUUCUGAUAUUGGAACAUGAAUUGCAUUAUAAAUGCAUUCUCAGUAUAGUGCCCUCCAUUUGUUAUUAAAUCAAGAGCAUGUUCUUAUGCUCAAUGGUCUUAGAAAAAAAAUUCACAUCCUUACACAUGAAUAUUAUGGCAUAUUCUACAUCCCCAAAAGAAAUAAGCAAUAAACUAUAGUUUUUGUUCAGAUGUGAGGUGUUCCCCAAAAGUUCAUGUGCGAGAUAACGCAAGAAUGUUCAGGGGUGAAUGAUCAGAUUAUGAGAGUCACAAUCCAGUCAGUGGUCAACCCCCUGGUGUGGAUUCACUGGUGGUAACUAGGCAGGUGGCUUGUGGCUGGAGGGAGGACUGGGGUGUGCCUUUGUCCUCUGUGAGCCUCUCUCCCACUUCCUGGUUGCCGAGUCCUGAGCUGCUUCCCUCUGCCAGCCUUCCACCAUACUGUUCACGGCAGGCCCAGAGCCAUGGGGUCAGCUGGCCGUGAACUGAGCCCCUGAAACCAUGAGCCAAAAUAGACAUUUCCUUUUUCUAGGUUGGUCUUGUCUGGUCUUUUGGUCACGGCAACACAAAGCUAACUAAAAUAACUAUUAAAAAGGAAAGAAAGGGGCUGGGAUUGUGGCUCAGCAGUAGAGCGCUCGCCUAGCACGGGCGGGGAGCGCGGGCGGGAUCCGGGUUUGAUCCUCAGCACCACAUUAAAAUAAAGGCAUUGUGUUGUGUCCAUGUACACCUAAAAAUAAUUUUUUUUGAAGAGGAGAGAAAAUGGAUUAUGUGAAGAUGAUA